Long non-coding RNA from Mytilus californianus (California mussel), 3751 nucleotides. RefSeq lists it as uncharacterized. Lineage: Eukaryota; Metazoa; Mollusca; Bivalvia; Mytilida; Mytilidae. The transcript has 2 exons. The record is from RefSeq and is a predicted model, not a curated record.
UUUUUAUACGACCGCAAAAAAAUUUUUGUGGUCGUAUAUUGGUAUGACGUUGGCGUCGUCGUCGUCGUCGUCCGGCGUCGUCGUCUUCCGGCGUCGUCGUCCGAAUACACAUUAGUUUUCGCACUCUAACUUUAGUUUAAGUGAAUGGAUCUCAAUGAAAUUUUACCAUAAGGUUCAAUACCACAAAAGGAAGGUGGGGAUUGAUUUUGGGGGUUAUGGUACUAACAGUUAAGGAAUAAGGGGCCAAAAGGGGCCAAAAAUAAGCAUUUUUGUAACUUCCAGACAUAACUUGUGUGUAAGUGUAUGGAUCUCUCUGACAUUGUACCACAAGGUUCCAUAUCACAAAGGGAAUGCUGGGAUUGAUUUUGGGGGUAAUUGCCUCCAAAUUUUAGGAAUUAGGGGCCAAAAAGGGGCAAAAAACAAGCAUUUUUCUAGUUUCAUGACAAUAACUUGUUUGUAAUUGUAUGGAUCUUUAUGAAAUUGUACUACAAGGUUCCAUAUCACAAAGGGAAAGCUGGAAUUGAGUUUGGGGGUAAUUGCCCUAAACGUUAAGGAAUUUGGGGCCAAAAAGGGGCCAAAAAACAAGCAUUUUUAUACGACCGCAAAAAUUGAAAAUUUUUUGGUCGUAUAUUGGUAUGACGUUGGCGUCGUCGUCGGCGUCGUCCGGCGUCGUCCGAAGACACAUUGGUUUUCGCACUCUAACUUUAGUUUAAGUGAAUGGAUCUCCAUGAAAUUUUACCAUAAGGUUCAAUACCACGAAAGGAAGGUUGGGAUUGAUUUUGGGGGUUAUGGUUCCAACAGUUAAGGAAUUAGGGGCCAAAAAGGGGCCAAACAUAAGCAUUUUUGUAACUUCCAGACAUAACUUGUGUGUAAGUGUAUGGAUCUCUCUGACAUUGUACCACAAGGUUCCAUAUCACAAAGGGAAGGCUGUAAUUGAUUUUGGGGGUAAUUGCCUCAAAAUUUUAGGAAUUAGGGGCCAAAAAAGGGGCAAAAAACAAGCAUUUUUCUAGUUUCAUGACAAUAACUUGUGUGUAAGUGUUUGGAUAUUUCUGAAAUUGUACUACAAGGUUCCAUCUCACAAAGGGAAAGCUGGAAUUGAGUUUUGGGGUAAUUGCCCUAAACUUUUAGGAAUUGGGGGCCAAAAAGGGGCCAAAAAUAAGCAUUUUUCUAGUUUCCAGACAAUAACUUGUGUUCAAGUGUAUGGAUCUCUCUGAAAUUGUACUGCAAGGUACCAUACCACAAAGGGAAGGCUAGGAUUGAGUUUGGGGGUGAUGAAUCAUAAGGGGGUUCAAAAAAUUUGGGGGGGGGAUUUUUUUUUUUCUUUUUUUUUCUUUUUUUCCUUUUUUUUUUUCUUUUAAAAUUUUCCAUUUUAAGUUGGUUAUUUCUGAUUUAUAUUUAAAAGCAAAUAAUAAUGAUAUGGUAGGAGAUACACACCAAACAGGAUGUGUAAAUUAUUAUAUAAUAAGUAUUGUGCAAUAGCAAGAAAUUUUCAAUUCCACAGUAUUGCACAAUAGCAAGAAAUCUUCAAUUGCACAGUAUUGCGCAAUAGCAAGAAAUUUUCAAUUGCACAGUAUUGCGCAAUAGCAAGAAAUAUCCAAUAGCACAAUAUUGCGCAAUAGCAAGAAAUUGUCAAUUGUACAGUAUUGCGCAAUAGCAAGAAAUAUUCAAUUGCACAGUAUUGUGCAAAAGAAGAUACUUCAUAUAAAUUGCUUAUUUCUUGAUCAAUUUCAAUGGGGUUUUAUUCUUGAAUUCUUGGGGUUCUUUAAUAUGCUGAAUCUAACCGUGUAUUAAGUUUUUGGAUUUUGGGCCCCGUUUUUAAAUUGGUCCACAUUGAGGUCCAAAGGGUCCAAAAUUUAACUUUGUUUGAUUUCAUCAAAAAUUGAAUUAUUGGGGUUCUUUGAUAUGCCGAAUCUAACCGUGUAUUUAGAUUCUUAAUUUUUGGUUCCGUUUUCAAAUUGGUCUACAUUAAGGUCCAAAGGGUCCAAAAUUAAACUUAGUUUGAUUUUAACAAAAAUUGAAUUUUUAGGGUUCUUUGAUAUGCUGAAUCUAAACAUGUAUUUAGAUUUUUGAUUAUGGGCCCAGUUUUCACGUUGGUCCAAAUCGGGGUCCAAAUUAAACUUUGUUUGAUUUCAACAAAAAUUGAAUAUAUGGGGUUCUUUGAUAUGCUGAAUCUAACCAUGUAUUUAGAUUUUUGAUUUUUGGGCCCCGUUAUCAACUUUGUCCACAUUGAGGUCAAAAGGGUCUAAAAUAAAACUUUGUUUGAUUUCAUCAAAAAUUGAAUUAUUGGGGUUCUUUGAUAUGCCGAAUCUAACCGUGUAUUUAGAUUCUUAAUUUUUGGUUCCGUUUUCAAAUUGGUCUACAUUAAGGUCCAAAGGGUCCAAAAUUAAAAUUAGUUUGAUUUUAACAAAAAUUGAAUUUUUAGGGUUCUUUGAUAUGCAGAAUCUAAACAUGUAUUUAGAUUUUUGAUUAUGGGCCCAGUUUUCAAGUUGGUCCAAAUCGGGGUCCAAAAUUAAACUUUGUUUGAUUUCAACAAAAAUUGAAUAUAUGGGGUUCUUUGAUAUGCUGAAUCUAACCUUGUAUUUAGAUUUUUGAUUUUUGGGCCCCGUUAUCAACUUUGUCCACAUUGAGGUCAAAAGGGUCUAAAAAAAAACUUUGUUUGAUUUCAUCAAAAAUUUAAUUCUUGGGGUUCUUUGAUAUGCUGAAUCUAACCAUGUAUUUAGAUUUUGGAUAUUGGACCAUAAUAGGUGAAUGUCCAAUUUGAAAUUUUUAAGUUCUUAGACCACAUUCAUUCUGUGUCAGAAACCUAUGCUGUGUCAAAUAUUUAAUCACAAUCCAAAUUCAGAGCUGUAUCAAGCUUGAAUGUUGUGUCCAUACUUGCCCCAACUGUUCAGGGUUCGACCUCUGCGGUCGUAUCAAGCUGCGCCCUGCGGAGCAUUUUAUUCUAGUUUCCAGACAAUAACUUGUGUUCAAGUGUAUGAAUCUCUCUGAAAUUGUACUGCAAGGUACCAUACCACAAAGGGAAAGCUGGGAUUGAGUUUGGGGGUGAUGAAUCAUAAGGGGGUUCAAAAAAUUGGGGGGGGGAUUUUUUUUUUCCUUUUUUUUCUUUAACAUUUUCCAUUUUAAAUUGGUUAUUUCUGAUUUAUAUAUAAAAGCAAAUAAUAAUGAUAUGGUUUAAAUAGGCAUACAUGUGAACCUCCCGACGGGAGUACAAUAAUCCCGUUUUCAGGGGUCUCCUCCCGACCUCCCGUUGAAGAGGAAAAAUUCCCGUGUAUGAAAUUUUUCAUGAAUGAAAAAUUUCUGCCCAACAUAUCAUCUCAGGCAUCUGGUGUAACUGACAUUACCUGAAGUUAUAUUUUACCUGUAAAUCAAUUAACAUGCAUAAUUAUAUGGCUUCACUUGUCAGCUUGGGUGUCAAACAUACUGGUAAUCAACGAUUUUUACCUCAGGCUAACUGCCGUUGUGUAACAAAAACUGUGUAUUUAUUGGGUUACUUCCCUUGAUUUAUCCUGUUUUAAGUUACUUUCCUUUUAAUAAUGAAAAUUUUUAAAAGAAUAUAAAUAAAAUAAAUUGAACAAAUAAUCAUAAAAGGAUGGUUAUUAAAUGAUUUUAAAUGUCUUAGGACAAAUAAAAAAAUAAUAAUAUGAAAAUUAUUUGAGGAUUCUAUACUUCCUUUCAAGGCUUAAAUUGAAAUUUAUAUAAUAACUAUGACCCUAAAUUUACAGAUAGAAUGAUUUUCUGAGUUUGCAAAUAA